Molecule: unclassified non-coding RNA, 378 nt
Filed under: uncultured Thermoleophilia bacterium
Lineage: Bacteria; Bacillati; Actinomycetota; Thermoleophilia
Description: contains 16S-23S intergenic spacer region
Source: RNAcentral
UCCGGUUUGGCACCGGCAGUCUCCCAUGAGUCCCCGACAUUACUCGCUGGCAACAUGGGACAGGAGUUGCGCUCGUUGCGGGACUUAACCCAACAUCUCACGACACGAGCUGACGACAGCCAUGCACCACCUGUGCACUGGUCCCGAAGGAGGACCGCAUUUCUACGGCUUUCCAGUGCAUGUCAAGCCCUGGUAAGGUUCUUCGCGUUGCAUCGAGUUAAACCACAUGCUCCGCUGCUUGUGCGGGCCCCCGUCAAUUCCUUUGAGUUUCAGCCUUGCGGCCGUACUCCCCAGGCGGGGCACUUAUCGCGUUAGCUACGGCACUGACGGGGUCGCUCCCCCCAGCACCUAGUGCCCAUCGUUUACGGCGUGGACUAC